This 492-nucleotide ribosomal RNA is filed under the name uncultured bacterium. RNAcentral's name for it is "partial 16S ribosomal RNA". It matches the Rfam family "Bacterial small subunit ribosomal RNA", at positions 29 to 507 of the family's 1533-position model. The record is from RNAcentral.
AGUGAACGCUGGCGGUAGGCCUAACACAUGCAAGUCGAACGGCAGCACAGUAAGAGCUUGCUCUUACGGGUGGCGAGUGGCGGACGGGUGAGGAAUACAUCGGAAUCUACUUUUUCGUGGGGGAUAACGUAGGGAAACUUACGCUAAUACCGCAUACGACCUACGGGUGAAAGCAGGGGAUCUUCGCACCUUGCGCGAUUGAAUGAGCCGAUGUCGGAUUAGCUAGUUGGCGGGGUAAAGGCCCACCAAGGCGACGAUCCGUAGCUGGUCUGAGAGGAUGAUCGGCCACACGGGAACGGAAACACGGUCCAGACUCCUACGGGAGGCAGCAGUGGGGAAUAUUGGACAAUGGGCGCAAGCCUGAUCCAGCCAUACCGCGUGGGUGACGAAGGCCUUCGGGUUGUAAAGCCCUUUUGUUGGGAAAGAAAAGCAGCAGGUUAAUACCCCGCUGUUCUGACGGUACCCAAAGAAUAAGCACCGGCUAACUUCGUG